CCGUAGCCAUUUUGGCUUAAG
RNAcentral lists this small RNA (21 nucleotides) under Karenia brevis. RNAcentral's name for it is "trans-spliced leader sequence SL". Lineage: Eukaryota; Dinophyceae; Gymnodiniales; Kareniaceae. The record is from RNAcentral.